CCGCCGUCUAACAAAGGACGCGUGCGCGAGCAUUGGCCCAUAAAUACUGACAACCGGCAACUGACAACUAUUCACAUCACAGUGUCAGCCGAAGUAUUCACACCUUCCAAGGAUGAAGUUCACUCUUGUGUUGGUUACCAUCACUCUCAGUCUAGGUGUGGUCAUGGCAAACAAACUGCCCGUGGACGUUGAACUAGACGACGGUGCACUGGAUGUAGCUAAUAUAAACGUGCACAAGACUAUGACGAAGCGCCAAGUGCAGCCAUCCUGGUUCAUUAAGUUCGGCGCAAACCCUGGAAACCUUCCGAAUCCGUUUGCUCAAGGAGGAAUCCAGAUUCCACCAGCGCAGGGGAACCCGUUCGCAUUUCCCUUUCAAUUCCCCUGGCAACAACAAGGUAACCAGCAACAGCAGCCACCACAGCAAGGUAACCAGCAUCAGUAGCCACUACAGCAAGCCUAAAAAGAAGCACAUCAGUACACAACAAGGCCUUUGUUUCGUCUCCUUACGUUUCCUAUUCGGAUAUCAAGAGUACAGAAGAGUUACGUCCCAAUGAUUUACUUUGUAUAAAAGCCUCCGCAUUGUGACUUGCUUUUUUUUAUAUUGUUUUACGCGUGUGAAAUAAAUCUCCCUAUUCUUGUGGA
Molecule: long non-coding RNA, 642 nt
Organism: Ornithodoros turicata
Lineage: Eukaryota; Metazoa; Arthropoda; Arachnida; Ixodida; Argasidae
Exons: 2
Source: RefSeq, a predicted model, not a curated record